GGACUACCCGGGUUUCUAAUCCUGUUUGCUCCCCACGCUGUCGCGCCUCAGUGUCAGCAACGGCCCAGCAGAACGCCUUCGCCACUGGUGUUCUUCCCGAUCUCUACGCAUUCCACCGCUACACCGGGAAUUCCAUCUGCCUCUACCGUGCUCGAGCCCGCCAGUCUUACCGGCAGCCCCGGAGUUGAGCCCCGGGAUUUCACCGGCAACUUAACGGGCCACCUACGCGCCCUUUACGCCCAGUGAUUCCGGACAACGCUCGCACCCUCCGUAUUACCGCGGCGGCUGGCAC
This 292-nucleotide ribosomal RNA is filed under the name uncultured bacterium. Its description in RNAcentral is "partial 16S ribosomal RNA". The record is from RNAcentral.